Talpa occidentalis (Iberian mole) is the source of this 368-nucleotide long non-coding RNA. RefSeq lists it as uncharacterized. NCBI's taxonomy places the organism in Eukaryota, Metazoa, Chordata, Mammalia, Eulipotyphla, Talpidae. The record is from RefSeq and is a predicted model, not a curated record. The transcript is spliced from 3 exons.
ACUGAGGAAGGAAGGAAGGAAGCAGGAUGGAGCUAGAAGGAGACCUGGGGGAGGCACAUGAAGAGAGACACAUGAAGAAACUGCGUUUGCCUUUUGGUCGUGGACUGGGUGACACAGAUGUGGGAACUGCAGCAUCUUAUGAGGUCUUGGCACCAGAGGAAUUCAUACACUCAAAGACUUUUUUCAAAGGGAGGACACUGUUUGACUUGGUCAGUUACUAAACUUCACUCAAGAGGUUGCAUGAAGAAUGAACAAUGUAAAAAAAAAAAAUGAACAUUUGUGGAGGUUACACAGAUCCCUGAUCACACCAACCUGCCUCUCCCCUAAAAAGCCAAUGUAAGGGGCCUCCCCAGUGGCGCAGCGGAUGA